Molecule: ribosomal RNA, 506 nt
Filed under: uncultured Glomeromycotina
Lineage: Eukaryota; Fungi; Glomeromycota
Description: partial small subunit ribosomal RNA
Rfam family: Eukaryotic small subunit ribosomal RNA
Source: RNAcentral
CCAAUAGCGUAUAUUAAAGUUGUUGCAGUUAAAAAGCUCGUAGUUGAAUUUCGGGAUUGACUCGAUGGUCGUGCCUUAAGGGGUAUGAACUGUCGCUGUUGAUUUCUCACCCUCUGGAGAAGCUCGAUGUCCUUAAUUGGAUGUCUUGUGGAACCAGGACCUUUACCUUGAAAAAAUUAGAGUGUUUAAAGCAGGCAUUUUGCUCGAAUACAUUAGCAUGGAAUAAUAGAAUAGGACGGCAUGGUUCUAUUUUGUUGGUUUCUAGGAUCACCGUAAUGAUUAAUAGGGAUAGUUGGGGGCAUUAGUAUUCAAUUGUCAGAGGUGAAAUUCUUGGAUUUAUUGAAGACUAACUACUGCGAAAGCAUUUGCCAAGGAUGUUUUCAUUAAUCAAGAACGAAAGUUAGGGGAUCGAAGACGAUCAGAUACCGUCGUAGUCUUAACCAUAAACUAUGCCGACUAGGAAUCAGACGAUGUUAAUUUUUUAAUGACUCGUUUGGCACCUUACG